GUGCUUCCUUCAGCAGCAUAUAAACUAAAAGUGGAACAAUACAGACAAGAUUGGCAUGGCCUUUGUACAAGGGUGACAUGCAAAUUAGUGAAGCAUUUCAUAUUUUU
Small nuclear RNA from Cebus imitator (Panamanian white-faced capuchin), 107 nucleotides. The record is from Ensembl. NCBI's taxonomy places the organism in Eukaryota, Metazoa, Chordata, Mammalia, Primates, Cebidae.